Molecule: ribosomal RNA, 266 nt
Filed under: uncultured archaeon
Lineage: Archaea
Description: partial 16S ribosomal RNA
Rfam family: Archaeal small subunit ribosomal RNA
Source: RNAcentral
ACACGACUACAUUAGAUACCCCGGUAGUCCUAGCCGUAAACGAUACUCGCUAGGUGUCGGCCACGGUGCGACCGUUGUCGGUGCCGUAGGGAAGCCGUGAAGCGAGCCACCUGGGAAGUACGGCCGCAAGGCUGAAACGUUAAAGGAAUUGGCGGGGGAGCACCACAACGGGUGGAGCUUGCGGUUUAAUUGGAUUCAACGCCGGAAAUCUUACCGGGACCGACAGCAACAUGAAGGCCAGGCUGAAGACUUUGCCGGAUUAGCUG